This 74-nucleotide transfer RNA is filed under the name Hydrogenophilus thermoluteolus. RNAcentral describes it as "tRNA-Gly". It matches the Rfam family "tRNA". From Rfam's summary of the family: Transfer RNA (tRNA) molecules are approximately 80 nucleotides in length. RNAcentral also lists the same sequence under 42 other names. The record is from RNAcentral. Lineage: Bacteria; Pseudomonadati; Pseudomonadota; Hydrogenophilia; Hydrogenophilales; Hydrogenophilaceae.
GCGGGUGUAGUUCAAUGGUAGAACAUCAGCUUCCCAAGCUGAGAACGUGGGUUCGAUUCCCAUCACCCGCUCCA